Ictidomys tridecemlineatus (thirteen-lined ground squirrel) is the source of this 2298-nucleotide non-coding RNA. The record is from RefSeq and is a predicted model, not a curated record. Lineage: Eukaryota; Metazoa; Chordata; Mammalia; Rodentia; Sciuridae.
AGUUUGUGAAGUAUUCAAAUCUCCUAUUUUCCUGUGUAAAGGCUAUUGAGAAAGAUAUUGGUAGUUGGGAUUAUAAAUGUUUUGACAUUUUUGGUAGCAACAAAGUAGAAGUUAUAAUCAUGGAAAUGACAAAGUCCAAAUAACAUAGAUAACAGGGUUUGGAAAGAUCACACAGAUGUCUAGGGACAUAAUCAAGAAUUGAAAUUUUGGGUUAGAAGAGCACACAGUGAACAACAGGUAAGAUUUCAUAAACUAAGGAGGAGUCAGCCUGCAUCUGUGAUGUGCAACUUCAAGAAGGGAUCGCCUCAGCAAAGUUGAAGCUGAGGGAUUUUAAGGAGAGAGGGAGAAUGUUCUAGAAGAAUCGACCUAAAACAAGGAAGCCACAUACUCCACUUUGAAGUCAAGAAUUCGUUGUGCAGGGAUUCAAAGCUCAAGAGCCUGCGGCUAUGUUUAAAUGAGAGCAAUAUUUACCCAGAGAAAGAGCCUGUCUCCACCCACCCUGCCAGGUCCAAGCAGACUCCGCUGUCACCAGACUGUUGUGUUUCUGAUAAUCAAUACACUGAUGUUUAAUAGUGCUCCUUCAGGGCUGUACCUACAAGGUGAAGCAGAACCCCCACAUGCUCUCAUAUGUGACCCUGUCCUUCAAAUACUAAUGAGGAACAACAGCAGGGUCCGCGGCAAUUUCAGACUCCUGGGAAUGACCAGUUUCUGUCUGUGACAGAAUAACAUUUCCAGAUGCCGGAGCACACUGGAUAGGGAAGAGAAUCAUAAUAGCUUCUCUGCCUGGCACUUAUUUACUGGUCCUGAGAUGGUUCUGUGCCCCUCUUCUUCCCUCUGUUCCCCAGAGGGUCUUCUCUACUGAGCAUGCAGGUAGAAGUACUUGUGUCUCAAGACCCAUUUGGAAUGCUCCUCUGGUUGCUGUCUUCAUCUUCACUCCUCCAGUUUUACCUGAGAGCACAGGCAAUCAGAAUACAUCACAACUGAGUUGAUAAUCUGUGAGCAGCCCUGUGAGCUCAGUCUAGUCACACGAGUCCCCAAAAGUGGAAAAGAAAGGAAGAAAGUGGGUCAGAGAGAAAAGUUGGAGCAGGAACAAUGUGAGUAUAAGAGGCACACAAUCCACCCACUCUGGCUUUGUUAAUGGGUGUAGGUGGCCAUGGACCAAGGAAUGUGGGCAGCCCGGAGAAGCCUGGAAUGGCCCCAGGUGACAACUAGGAACUGGGGACUUCAGUCCUACAACUACAAAUGAUAGUUGUGAGGACAAACCGAAUGAGCCUGUAAGCAGACUCUCUUCAAAGUCCUCAAAGGAACACAAACGUGCUGACCCCAGGCUUAACACUGGACCAACCUGCAUUGGGCUGCUGCCCUAAGGAACUGGGAGAUAAUAGAUUGUGAGUGGAAAAGAAGAAUUUAUUAAAAAAAAAAAAAAGCCAAAAUAACAAACACUGUGAUUUUACCCUGAGUGUGCAUUCUUUAGGACAUACUUGACAAUUUGAUACCAAAUGGUCAGAUUCAAUUUUUGUGAUUUGCACAUCAUUAUUCUGUUCUCUCCCCUGUAUGUAGCUCUUCAUCAAAUUGAAAUUUAAUAAUGCUGGAAUACAUUAGGAGAACAUCUUUAUACUAACAUUUUGAGGCCUUUAUCCUGUGACUUACAGAACAUUGCAGAGAAUAUAUAAAGUGCUUACAUAAAAUAUUUAUGAACAUUAAGCCAGUUCUUGGCUUGGGAAAGGGAGAUAUUUCUGAAUUUGACUAUGUAGAGAUAAAGCCUCUGAAGCCAACUAGAAGUGAUCUAAGAGUUAUUAUACCAGUGUAUCAUCUUUGUUUUAAUUCUCUUGAUGUCAAGGUAGCUAGUAGUACUUCUUGGAACAAUGCAACUUUUUUUCUACAUAUUGUGCUUUGAGAUUUAAGUUUAUUCUUUUUAUGUGAAAUAAGUUAAAGCAUCAUGUUACAUAGAUUGACUUUUUUUUCUGUCUGCAGAUGUUGGAGAGUCCUCUCUUCAAUCAGUUAAAUAGGGCACAACGACUCAUCAGGCUUUCUUUUAGUUCCUGCACAUGACACAACUUAGGUUUCAGAAUGACUCUCUUCUAUUUUGUAUAAAUGACAUUCUGCAUUUGUGGUGCAACUAGAUGUAAUUGUGCUUGCUAACAGACUCCAACCAGUAAUGUCAGUAAUUUGAAUGUAGACUAUUUGAGAAGGGAUAUAUACAUUUCAUUUGUUGUAAUUCUGCUUCAAAAAUAUUAUACAUUUAAUGUAAAUCUUCUUCUCAAGCUCUUCGUCCUUACCUGAAGAUUUACAUUAAAC